RNAcentral lists this ribosomal RNA (380 nucleotides) under uncultured eukaryote. RNAcentral's name for it is "partial 18S ribosomal RNA". It matches the Rfam family "Eukaryotic small subunit ribosomal RNA", at positions 592 to 976 of the family's 1831-position model. The record is from RNAcentral.
CAGUAGCGUAUAUUAAAGUUGUUGCGGUUAAAAAGCUCGUAGUUGGAUUUCUGCCGAGGACGACCGGUCCGCCCUCUGGGUGAGUAUCUGGCUCGGCCUGGGCAUCUUCUUGGAGAACGUAGCUGCACUUGACUGUGUGGUGCGGUAUCCAGGACUUUUACUUUGAGGAAAUUAGAGUGUUUCAAGCAGGCUUACGCCUUGAAUACAUUAGCAUGGAAUAAUAAGAUAGGACCUCGGUUCUAUUUUGUUGGUUUCUAGAGCUGAGGUAAUGAUUAAUGGGGAUAGUUGGGGGUAUUUAUAUUCCGAUGUCAGAGGUGAAAUUCUUAGAUUUUCGGAAGAUAAACUUAUGCGAAAGCAUUUACCAAGGAUGUUUUCAUUAA